CAAUUAAUUUAUUACACCUUUACCGCAUCUUAUAUACAUAAUAUACAUACAAAAUUGAUAUAUUGUAUAUACAAAAUAUAUGUAUUAUAUAUUAUAUAUAUUAUAUAUAACAUAUACACGUGCAUAUACAAAUCGGUGAAUAGGAGAUAAGGUUUUGCUAAGACGAAAAUCCAUGCGAUCGCGCGGAUCGAUCGAUAGGAAAGGAACGAUCGACGCAUGGAUCCGUGAUCCGCGCGAUCGUCGGUACAAUGUGUACAGCGAACCGGUGGGAAAGAGGACGAUAUUCUAUCGACAAAAGAUCCAGACAGUAUUUUAAAAUGACAUAGUUAGCUUAGUCGUCUACGUAUUAAUGUAUCUACCCCUAUACGCGCACGCGUGCACGCGCGGGAAAUUCGAAAACAAAACGAGAAAAAACAAAACAAUAUCGAACGAACGAUGGAAAAAAUGCGUGCACGCGGAUACACACACACACGUACACGAGAAAUAUUGUAUCGUUGUCGAUGUCUACGAUUGUUAAAGCGGAGACGCCUGGCGCCGAUGACCAACAAAAUCCUCCCCCCCCUCUCCUCCUAUCCCAACUCCGCAGCGUCGCGACGCCGCGCGUCUCCACUCGUGUAAUUCACGUUUCAAUAAUAUUUAUUAUUUUUUAUAAUAGCGUAUACGGUGUAUGUGUUUCCUGUCGUGAUUACCCACACUUCUCCUUACCUCUCGAUAGAUGUUGAAGAAAAAAAAUAACAAAAAAAAAAAAUAAAAAUAAAUAUAAUAAGGGAGGGAGAAGAGCACGGAGAGAAUGAUUACGGAUCAAAAGGCGAGGGAUGAUUUUUAUCGACGAAAUGCUGCUUCGUCUCCCUCCCCCUCCCUUCAGGAGUCUUAAUUAAUUCCCUAACUAUUACGUUGUUACUUGGAACUCGUUAGAUCGCGGCGAACCGCCCCGCGAGCCCGAUUGUUUAACUGCAUAUACGAUCACCGAUGUAAAACCGGGUCGUUGCCUCUAACCCUUCCACUGCUGAGGGCACGCUUCUUAACUCUUUCCCAAGUCGCAGGAAUUCUGUUCGUUUCCCGUACGCGG
This is a long non-coding RNA of Colletes gigas, 1069 nucleotides long. RefSeq lists it as uncharacterized. Lineage: Eukaryota; Metazoa; Arthropoda; Insecta; Hymenoptera; Colletidae. The transcript has 2 exons. The record is from RefSeq and is a predicted model, not a curated record.